Coccomyxa sp. Obi is the source of this 73-nucleotide non-coding RNA. The record is from the annotation of a GenBank genome assembly. NCBI's taxonomy places the organism in Eukaryota, Viridiplantae, Chlorophyta, Trebouxiophyceae, Coccomyxaceae.
GGGAUAUUGGUCAAGUGGUUAAGAUUCUCGCUUAGGGUGCGAGAGGUCCCGUGUUCGAUUCACGGAUGUCCCC